Molecule: long non-coding RNA, 4193 nt
Organism: Equus caballus (horse)
Lineage: Eukaryota; Metazoa; Chordata; Mammalia; Perissodactyla; Equidae
Source: Ensembl
GGAAGAUUAGCCCGGAGCUAACUGCUGCCAAUCCUCCUCUUUUUGCUGAGGAAGGCUGGCCCUGAGCUAACAUCUGUGCCUGUCUUUCUCUGCUUUACAUGUGGAACGCCUGCCACAGCAUGGCUUGCAUCCAGGAUCCAAACCAGCAAACCCGGGCCACCGAAGCGGAACAUGCACACUUAACAGCUGUGCCACCAGGCUGGCCUCAGAUUUUUUAUUUCUUUGUAGACGAAUGUAUAAAGACAGCCCAAAAGGACGAAGAUGCAAGGCAUGCAUAUGUCAUUUGGUCAAAGAACGAUGAGAAAUCAAACUGUACUCUCUGCAAGUGCCAACGAAUUGUUCUGCUACUGGCGGUCCUUGUCAGAUGCUGGGACUCCUGCUUUUGUUACUGAAUGUGGAAAAUAAAACUGUUAAGACUAAUUGAAGAUAAUGGGAUAAAAAUCUAUAGCUGAAAUCAACCUCCUCUACAUCAAUUAGAUGAAAGUAAUUCACUGAAAGUUAUUUGCUGGACAUGCAAUAGUCAUGCAGUGCCUGCUUGUGUAGCUUAAAAACACGCUACAAACAUUUUUAAACAUGAAGGUACAAAGUGAUUAAUAUAGAUAGAGACACUCUUCUAGGGCUGUGUGUGUGCGUGUGUCUCAACACACAACUUUGGCCUACGUGUGCACCUUAUUGUAAGACCUUGCAACGUCAAGAUAUUUCACAGGGUGAAAUCCCGCUUCCUGUGUGGCAGCUCCACACGGGACCAGAAAUCAUGCAGUCAGACUGACUGACUUUGGCUGACUGAGUUUUAAAGAGGAUCAAAAACCUUUUAGUAUAAAAAGAAAAAAAGGCUCUACCAUAUUGCAGUGGUCCUUUUAAGACCUCCCACAUGGCUGCUCUGAGUGACAGGUCUGACAUCCCUCAAAAUUCCCACAGCAUUCCAGCUAAUUACUUAGAAACAGAUAAACCCACCAAAAGCCAACCAGUAAGUAGGAACGUAUGCGAGGAGUGAUCUCAUCCUGGGUUUCUCAAGGAGACAACACAGACAUGGAAAAGAAAGACAGGCAAAAAGAGUAAUUGAUGGUUUUUAUUCCAUUUUCCUUCUUCCCUCCUUGUCCUUCUGUUUUGAUCAUUGGAAUUUCACAGUAAAUACACACUCUGUGAAAGAUAUUAGUGCAUGUUCACUGUCCAGGUAUUUGGUUUCAUGAAAUCACUGAACCUUAUUAGAAGCUAAAGCAUCAAAAUUUUAACAGGCAUUAUCCUGGAAUGAUAUUUAUACUAUUAGGAAUCUCUGGAAAAUUAAAAAACCAUAAUUGUAAGCAGUUGUUUAAGGGAAAGAUUUUCUGAAGUCAGUGGACAAUAGAUUUCAAGACUUUGACAUAGAAGUUUAAAAAAUUAUCAAUCUUUCUUUUUUGUGCCUAGCUUAAGAAAUUCUUUCCUAGAUAUAUCUAGAGAAAAAAAAGAUAAAUCUAGAUAUAUAAUAAAAACAUUCUUAUAUUAUCUUCAAAUUUUGAGCUUUGCUUUUUCAAAUUUAAGUAUUCCUAAUUUGGAAUUUAUUUUUGUCUGUAGUGUGAGAUACUUCGAUUUUAUUUUUUUAAUCAGAAAUGAAAUGGUCUCAUCAGUAUAAUUGCUUUAAUGAUUUCUCAUGCCAAAGCUGUAUGUCAUAAGUGAUGCCUCCAUGUGCAUGUGAUUCUAUUUCUCAGCUCUCCAAGGUCUUAUUAUAUAGCACCAGACAACCAGAAUUCACACUUCAGUACCUCCACUUACUAGAAGUGUGAUCAGUUGGAUUGUGGUAGUUUUCAAGGUCUUCCAGAGGAGAAAAUCAUAACUAGAUUCUUAGGUAUUACGUCUAUAGGCUGAGUGCCGCUGAUGGAAACAACAGGGAGCUGAUUUUAUGCCCUCUGUCCUGUCAAGAAAAGAUGCACCCUUUGAGCAUCCAUUAUGACCCUUUCUGACAUUAACCCUUGAGGUCCUCAAGGAGCCUCAGCUCUGCAGGGAAAGUCUCCCAGGAUGCUGCUGCCCAUUCUCUGUCACCUCAGUUACAAAGAUACCGUAUAAUCCUCCCAUCUUCUUUCUUAAAUUUAUGUUUAAAUUUCCCCAUGUUUUCCCUGAAUAUCUCCUAUAGGUGUUUUUAUUUUUGUAUUUUGACUAUGUAAUGUAGCUCUGUCCUUAUAAAUGUUUCCCUCCUUUUUGUAAGUCAAAAUGAAUUUGCUAUAUUCUUACCUGUCAGAGAUUACAUUUAAGAUUACAUCUCUCACUUUAAGGUUGUCAUGAGCAAAUUUAACAAUAUGUAUUUAUACCAGUGAAAACAAAUAGACUCUCAUUAAGACAAAACUUCUCUCUAGCCUACCUACAAGCCAAAAAAACCCAAAAAACAAAACUGCGCAACUGAGAUCUAAUUCUGCCAUUUAGAAAAAUUCUCCAGGGAGCCGACCCCAUGGCCGAGUGGUUAAGUUCCUGAGCUCCGCUUCAGUGGCCUGGGGUUUUGCGGGUUCGGAUCCUGGGCACGGACAUGGCUCAUCAGGCCACGUUGAGGCGGUGUCCCACAUACCACAACUAGAACGACCUGCACCUAGGAUAUACAACUGUGUGCCAGGGGGAUUUGGGGAAAUAAAGCAGAAAAAAAAAAAAAAAAAAGAUUGGCAACAUUUGUUAGCUCAGGUGCCAAUCUUUAAAAAAAAAAAAAAGAAAAAUUCUUCAGAUUGAUGAGUAUUCUGGUAUUUGUGGUUAUUUUGCUUAUUCAAAGUUCCAUGAAUUUUAUAUUUGCAUACUUCUAUCAAAGCUUGCAAACUCUCUUUUUGAAAUUUCAAAAUUCUUUAUUUUAUUUUAUUUUUUAAAUUGAGAUUCAGAAUAGUUUACAUCAUCUUGAAAUUUCAGUGGUACAUUAUUUCUUGUCUGUCACCAUGUACGUGCUCCCCUUCACCCCCUGUGGCCACCUUCCACCCCGCUUCCCCUGGUAAUCACUGAACUGUUUUCUUUGUCCAUGUGUUCAUUUAUAUUCCACAUAUGAGUGAAAUCAUCUGGUGUUUGUCUUUCUCAGUCUGACUUAUUUCACUUAGCAUAAUACCCUCCAGGUCCAUCCAUGUUGUUGCAAAUGGGAUGAAUUUGUCUUUUAUUCUGGCUGAGUAGUAUUCCAUUGUAUGUAUAUACCACAUCUUCUUUAUCCAAUCAUCAGUCAAUGGGCACUUGGAUUGUUUCCAUGUCUUGGCUGUGGUGAAUAGUAGAGCUUGCAAACUCUUGAUUGGACACUAAUAAUUUUUUUCUUGUCCUGCAGUGGGAGGGGCUGAGUGGCCCAUUUGCUGCCAGUAUCCACAUAUAUGCCAGAAUAUAUAGAAAAAUAUGAGAAAAUAAUAAAUAUAAUUAUUAUUGAUUUUAUGUUAUUUGUAUAAUAAAUAUAAGUAGUCAUUACCCUAGUCAUAGUCUUUGGUUAGUUUUUGUCUAUUUGUUAACCUGAUUAUAGCUUGAGAGAAUUAGUUAUUUUGUGUUGUUUUGGAUAUGGUUACUUAUCUCCUCUAAAUAUCAGUUUCUUUAUCUCUAAAAUGGUAACCAUAGUGACUUUUCAGGGUCCCUAUCAGGAUUAAAUGAGAUAGUAUACAAAGAAUUUAGCAGAACAAGAAUUGCCAUAUAAUUGAUGGUUAAAAAUGGAAGAUAGCAGUAAGAGUAUGUUUUCGUAAAUAUUAGGAUUGAAACACUUGUGUAUUAUAUUCUCAUAUACUUGCACUAUAUGUUUAUUUAAUGAGAAAUAUUUAUAACUAUCCUACAUACAUUUCAAUAUUUUAAAUUAUUAAACAUUAGAAAUCUAAUAUCUCUUAGUCAUAUUUUCUCUACCACGUACAUUAUUUGAAUUACUAAUCAUGAUACUGACUUUUUCAAGAGAACAGGCAAAUUGCCUUAUAGAAUGGCUGGACUUUUUAAGAAUCAAAAUUGACUGAAAAAUUUCAUGCAAUUGAAGACUAGGGUGGGGUUGAAAGGGGAAGUUUGGAGAAAGAAUAAUGUUCUGUUUACUCCUUCCUGACUCCAGCUCAUUUAGCGAAUUGAUCCCACGAUUAUAUCCCACAAAAAUAUAAUAUCAGUUUAAUUUAUGAAAAAUAUCCAGGAAGGUAUUAACGUAUUCUUAAAUACUGAUCAAGGAGGUAAGUUCACUCUUAACCCUCACUUAUUUUAAGUGUUUUAUAGCUAAAAUAAUAACACCAUAUUUGCUGAUUUUGGAG